Molecule: ribosomal RNA, 497 nt
Filed under: uncultured bacterium
Lineage: Bacteria
Description: partial 16S ribosomal RNA
Rfam family: Bacterial small subunit ribosomal RNA
Source: RNAcentral
GAUGAACGCUGGCGGCGUGCCUAAUACAUGCAAGUCGAGCGAACAGACGAGGAGCUUGCUCCUCUGACGUUAGCGGCGGACGGGUGAGUAACACGUGGAUAACCUACCUAUAAGACUGGGAUAACUUCGGGAAACAGGAGAUACUACCGGAUAAUAUAUUGAACCGCAUGGUUCAAUAGUGAAAGACGGUUUUGCUGUCACUUAUAGAUGGAUCCGGGUCGCAUUAGCUAGUUGGUAAGGUAACGGCUUACCAAGGCAACGAUGCGUAGCUGAUCUGAGAGGGUGAUCGGCCACACUGGAACUGAGACACGGUCCAGACUCCUACGGGAGGCAGCAGUAGGGAAUCUUCCGCAAUGGGCGAAAGCCUGACCGAGCAACGCCGCGUGAGUGAUGAAGGUCUUCGGAUUGUAAAACUCUGUUAUUAGGAAAGAACAAAUGUGGAAGUAACUAUGCACGUCUUGACGGUACCUAAACAGAAAGCCACGGCUAACUACGUG